Molecule: ribosomal RNA, 510 nt
Filed under: uncultured bacterium
Lineage: Bacteria
Description: partial 16S ribosomal RNA
Rfam family: Bacterial small subunit ribosomal RNA
Source: RNAcentral
GACGAACGCUGGCGGCGUGCUUAACACAUGCAAGUCGAACGAAGAGCGAUGGAAGCUUGCUUCUAUCAAUCUUAGUGGCGAACGGGUGAGUAACGCGUAAUCAACCUGCCCUUCAGAGGGGGACAACAGUUGGAAACGACUGCUAAUACCGCAUACGAUCUAAUCUCGGCAUCGAGGAUAGAUGAAAGGUGGCCUCUACAUGUAAGCUAUCACUGAAGGAGGGGAGUGCGUCUGAUUAGCUAGGUGGAGGGGGAACGGCCCACCAAGGCGAUGAUCAGUAGCCGGUCUGAGAGGAUGAACGGCCACAUUGGGACUGAGACACGGCCCAGACUCCUACGGGAGGCAGCAGUGGGGAAUCUUCCGCAAUGGACGAAAGUCUGACGGAGCAACGCCGCGUGAGUGAUGACGGCCUUCGGGUUGUAAAGCUCUGUUAAUCGGGACGAAAGGCCUUCUUGCGAAUAGUGAGAAGGAUUGACGGUACCGGAAUAGAAAGCCACGGCUAACUACGUG